UGUUUCGGCUAGGGGGCCAUCCCGGCUUACCAACCCGAUGCAAACUGCGAAUACCGGAGAAUGUUAUCACGGGAGACACACGGCGGGUGCUAACGUCCGUCGUGAAGAGGGAAACAACCCAGACCGCCAGCUAAGGUCCCAAAGUCAUGGUUAAGUGGGAAACGAUGUGGGAAGGCCCAGACAGCCAGGAUGUUGGCUUAGAAGCAGCCAUCAUUUAAAGAAAGCGUAAUAGCUCACUGGUCGAGUCGGCCUGCGCGGAAGAUGUAACGGGGCUAAACCAUGCACCGAAGCUGCGGCAGCGACACUAUGUGUUGUUGGGUAGGGGAGCGUUCUGUAAGCCUGUGAAGGUGGCCUGUGAGGGUUGCUGGAGGUAUCAGAAGUGCGAAUGCUGACAUAAGUAACGAUAAAGCGGGUGAAAAGCCCGCUCGCCGGAAGACCAAGGGUUCCUGUCCAACGUUAAUCGGGGCAGGGUGAGUCGACCCCUAAGGCGAGGCCGAAAGGCGUAGUCGAUGGGAAACGGGUUAAUAUUCCCGUACUUGGUGUUACUGCGAAGGGGGGACGGAGAAGGCUAUGUUGGCCGGGCGACGGUU
This 590-nucleotide ribosomal RNA is filed under the name Salmonella enterica subsp. enterica serovar Poona. RNAcentral's name for it is "partial 23S ribosomal RNA". It matches the Rfam family "Bacterial large subunit ribosomal RNA", at positions 911 to 1503 of the family's 2925-position model. The record is from RNAcentral. Lineage: Bacteria; Pseudomonadati; Pseudomonadota; Gammaproteobacteria; Enterobacterales; Enterobacteriaceae.